AUGACGUAUGAUCUAGUAUCCUAGUUUGUACCCUGGAAGAGCGAUUCCUAUCGACUACGAAAGAAAAUCUGAACUUGUCUAUCAAAAAACGAACACAAUCCACGAAUAGAAGGCUAGGACUGCUUUCGGGGUUCAGUGCUGCUGGGUCGAGAAGGCGACCCGCGGGAUACUGGACUUUUCGGUGGGCGCUCGCCUUGCCACCAAACGCACCACGAUGAACGGCGUACGGAGACACAAUGGCACUGCCGUACCCGUCCGAAAGUCGGCUCGAGGCACCGUUCACCCGAAGCGGUGACGUCUUUCGUGGCAGUUUCGCUCUCCGCAAGUUGGUGCAAGCAGGCUAGCUGGCGCGGAACGACGCACUUGGGGAACGCAACGACCUGGAUGUAAUCUGGGUGCCAGGCGCCCUGCUCCUUGUCGCGUGAAGCAGGCUUUAAAAUCAAACUGUGCGGGCUUUGAAAAGGCAACCACCACUGUGGGAGCGCGUCGAGCACUGGCCCAGCGUGCUUGACUCUUGACUAUGAAACGGUUCGUUCCGUUCAUCGAGCUAAACCUGCUGUUGACCACUUUUGGGCGUCGUCUUUUCCAGCAUGCGACAGAAGCGAAUCUCUGUGCAGUGUAGUGCGGGAAAGGCACGAGCGCUCCGUUCAGUUACUGGGCAUCUUCAGCAAAACGAAAAGGGCUCUUCUACGAAUAAACUUGUAGGCGUCGCAUGGUGAUCAUGAGCACCGUCGAAUGUACCGUAAUCACCGCUAGGCAGACAAAUGAUGACGUGGACGAUAGGGAUGGAGACCUGCUCCAAUCUCUAGACGGCAAUGCGCUCUUCAGCAGGAGAGCCAGAGCUGGACGCUUUCUGAACCACCUUCUGUGAGGUUUGGUAGCUUCGCAGCAUUGCAAGAUCCUCCUCAAGGCCAACGUCGUCCUCUGGAUAAGCAGGGCCACCAUGACGCGAGGUAUCAUUCCCAAGAAUUCCCACCUCCGGCGGGACGCGUAGCAGGCCGAGAAACCUGAGGAUCAAGAAGUAGCCGCCGAUAUUCAUUCCCACAAACGGCCAAACGUAGAGAAUCUCCGUCAGCUGAGCAGCGAGCUGCUUUCCAUAGCCAUAGAAUACACCCCCCUGAACCAUCGUACGAGCCAUAAACCAUGGCGACGGUAUCAGGCUUUGCGAAAAAGCCGGGAAUGAGGACGCACCGUGUGCCUCCGAACGCGUGGACGGUAACGGCGCCGAGCGGGUCAUCGAUACGCAGCCGCUGGAUGAGCUUAUCGCCGAAAACCCAAAUCCAUCCCGCAAUAACCCCGCAACACAGCGCCGAGUACGUCGGAAUGGUCGAACAGGGAGAUGUAACCGCCACUGUGUCGCUGAUAGAGCCAUUCACCAUGGAGGCGCAGUCAAAGUACUUGUCCACGAAUCGCGCGAUAAUCAGCGUCGUGAUCCCAGCAGAUGCAGAUAAAACGAGUGUGUUCACAGCAGCGAGCGCUACCUGACCUGCAUUCGAGU
RNA transcript from Cyanidioschyzon merolae strain 10D, 1498 nucleotides. RefSeq lists it as hypothetical. The transcript has a single exon. NCBI's taxonomy places the organism in Eukaryota, Rhodophyta, Bangiophyceae, Cyanidiales, Cyanidiaceae. The record is from RefSeq and is a predicted model, not a curated record.